Molecule: ribosomal RNA, 554 nt
Filed under: uncultured fungus
Lineage: Eukaryota; Fungi
Description: eukaryotic LSU rRNA
Rfam family: Eukaryotic large subunit ribosomal RNA
Source: RNAcentral
GGGAUUGCCCUAGUACGGCGAGUGAAGCGGCAACAGCUCAAAUUUGAAAUCUGGCCUUUGGUCCGAGUUGUAAUUUGUAGAGGAUGCUUUUGGUGCGGUUCCUUCCGAGUUCCCUGGAACGGGACGCCUUAGAGGGUGAGAGCCCCGUACGGUUGGAUACCUAGCCUCUGUAAAGCUCCUUCGACGAGUCGAGUAGUUUGGGAAUGCUGCUCUAAAUGGGAGGUAAAUUUCUUCUAAAGCUAAAUACCGGCCAGAGACCGAUAGCGCACAAGUAGAGUGAUCGAAAGAUGAAAAGCACUUUGAAAAGAGGGUUAAAUAGCACGUGAAAUUGUUGAAAGGGAAGCGUUUAUGACCAGACUUUUUCUAGGCGGAUCAUCCGGUGUUCUCACCGGUGCACUUCGCCUAGUUUAGGCCAGCAUCGGUUUCCGUAGGGGGAUAAAAGCUUUAGGAAUGUGGCUCCUUCGGGAGUGUUAUAGCCUAUUGUAUAAUACCCUUCUGGGGACCGAGGUUCGCGCUCUGCAAGGAUGCUGGCGUAAUGGUCAUCAACGACCCGU